This 468-nucleotide ribosomal RNA is filed under the name uncultured bacterium. RNAcentral describes it as "partial 16S ribosomal RNA". It matches the Rfam family "Bacterial small subunit ribosomal RNA", at positions 28 to 507 of the family's 1533-position model. The record is from RNAcentral.
GACGAACGCUGGCGGCGUGCUUAACACAUGCAAGUCGAACGGAAAGGCCCUGCUUUUGUGGGGUGCUCGAGUGGCGAACGGGUGAGUAACCCGUGAGUAACCUGCCCUCGACUUUGGGAUAACUUCCGGAAACUGCCGCUAAUACCGGAUAGGAGCUCCUGCUGCAUGGUGGGGGUGGGAAAGUUUCGGCGGCUGGGGAUGGACUCGCGGCUUAUCAGCUUGUUGGUGGGGUAGUGGCUUACCAAGUCUUUGACGGGUCGCCGGCCUGAGAGGGUGACCGGCCACAUUGGGACUGAGAUACGGCCCAGACUCCUACGGGAGGCAGCAGUGGGGAAUAUUGCACAAUGGGCGGAAGCCUGAUGCAGCAACGCCGCGGGCGGGAUGACGGCCUUCGGGUUGUAAACCGCUUUCGCCGGUGACGAAGCGGGAGUGACGGUAAUGGGUAAAGAAGCACCGGCUAACUACAUG